Non-coding RNA from Misgurnus anguillicaudatus (oriental weatherfish), 2650 nucleotides. Lineage: Eukaryota; Metazoa; Chordata; Actinopteri; Cypriniformes; Cobitidae. The record is from RefSeq and is a predicted model, not a curated record.
GUGUCAUUUUGUGUAGAAAAUUAACUAAAGUUACUAAACCUAACAACAAAAGCAAUGAUAAAACAGAGUAAAUACAGCUGGGAAAAAAAACUACCUCCUAAAUUAUUCAAACCCCAGUGCAUGAUGGGAACACCAUAAUCAGAAAAUGUAUAAUGCUGAUAUUUACGCUUUAAUUUCUACAAGCUUGAAUACUCGGGUUUCAGUCACGUGAUUAUGAUGACGCGCGUGGGCGGGAAGAAGAGCAGAUGGAGGGCAUGAAGUAAAAAUGGAGAAUACGUCUAUAGAGGAAAGCGUUGUAGAGAGUCCGUAUUGCACGGAUUUAGAUCCAGUUUCAAGACAAAGAUACGAAGAAUUAGGAGAUAUGUUGGGCGUGACCCGUUCCUCAUGAAGAUGAGUGAGUUUUCGGUAGAACUUAAAGAUUUACCGACAGUCGCGGCUGUUGACAUCACGAACUGGUCCUUCAGACAUCGUACUACACCAGAAAGCAAAGGAAGGCCUAUAAAAGUCUGGAGUCACAUAACUUUUUUGUCAACGGGUGGGUCCACGACCUCGGUGUCAAACGGCUACGCGAUGAUCAUCAUUUGGUCUUCGCAAGAGUGUUUGUUCUUAUAUUGUUUUAUGUGCUAAGAUGCUAGCAGUAGCGCAACACAUUUGAACGACAACGUUAGUCUGACAGUUGUUUAUGUUUUAAGGUAAACCACUCUCAGGGAUAGAACGAAACACCUUUGAAGACCUGGAUUAUUGCGAAGGAGGAUGGAGAAGUCAUUGCAGCUCAUUGCAAUUGCAUGGCAGGACUAUCAGAAUCGUGUUCUCAUGUAGGGGCAGUUCUUUUUUCCAUUGAAGUUGGGGUAAAGAUGCGAGAUACAGUUUCCUGCACAACAGAGCAGUGCAAGUGGCUGAUGCCAUCACAUGUAAAAAAGGUAAGGUGACACACGUUCAUAGCAAACCAAAUGUGGGACAGAGAAUGUUAUUUUGGGGACACUGUUUAAUGGUAGGCCAAAAUAUGAUGUUAGUAAAUUAAUGUUUAUACUGUGCCCCUUUAGUUAUGUAUUUGCUCUGGUUAAUUCAUCAGCACACAAUAUACAGUAGACAAGUAGAUUGCUUGUCUUCAUCUACAUUUCCUCCUCUAUGAGGGGAUUUUCAUUAUAUUCAAUCAUACCUAAUGUCGGGGAUUAUUAAAGUAUUUCUAUUCUAUAUUCUCCCUAUAUCUGUGUAUCUUGUGACAUUGUGGUUUAUCACAAUUUCCCUGUUGGGCAAAGAGGAGCUAAAACAACAAAGACCCACAUAAAUACAGUUUGGCAUCUCAAUCCUGUGAUGAUAGCCUUACCUGUUUUCCUCACAGCCAUCGGAUAAGCGGCAGAUUUAUACUGCAUAUAGAUAUUUUAUGGAGCACAGAAAUGUGCACAGAAAUGUGUACUUAAUAAUGUGUUCUUUGUGUUAACGUAUUUUGAGAUUGCUGCUGCUCCAGUAGCUCUGAUCGACUUCUCUUCAGCAAAAUCUAAAAAAAUAAAGCUUGACCAUUCCAUUGAUGGCAGGACAACUGAAAACAAGUUAUGGAUGCAAACAUGAAGCAAAAGCCAGAGGAGCAUAUGAGAAGCUGAUGGUUCGGGAGCAUGCAGGCUUCUCCUGUAUGGACAGUGGUCUCUGGCUGAACCCCAAGUGGCCAUACAUGGGGUCCUCCCCUGAUGGGAUUGUCGCUUGUGACUGUCACGGAACUGGCAUCUGUGAGAUUAAGGAUACAUUAUAGUCUCUGCUGUAGUAAAUUCCCUAAAUCCCGAGUACGAGUGGAGUCUCAAGUCCUAAUAUUAGAUAAAAUAGUAUCUAAUGUAUAGUAUAGACCAUUUCAGCAGUAACAACAUAAACAAGCGGCUGUCGCGGUCCGCACAUAACCUUCUGUAAACUCCGCUAAGAAUAAAUAACAACAAAGUUCUUUAAAGGUCAUGUUCUUCCUGAUACCAUUUUUUAAACCCUAGUUAAUGUGUAAUGUUGCUAUAAUAGCAUAAAUAAUACCUGUAAAAUGAUAAAGCUCAAAGUUCACUGCCAGGCUAUAUAUUUUCUUCAAUAGAAUUCCUCUUUAAAAUCCUACAACAUAUGGCAGGUUUGGACUACAGCCCUCUUUUUCCUGCUUUAAUGACGUCAGUAAAACAGUUCGUUGACUAAACUCCGCCCACAGGAAUACGUCAGUCACCAGCUUUGGCUCAAAUGGCUCUGCUAAGCUAAGCUGCUAUCGAAUCACAGCACACUAAACAAACUACAUAAUCAGAACUCGAUACGUAUUUCUGAAAGAGAGACUUCACAUAACAAGGAAGACAUCAGCCUGUUUUGAGGACAGUGAAAACAGCGCUAUACAGAUAAGUAAAUUGUGUGAAAAGUACCGCGUUUUUUUACACGUGAAACAUGAACACAUGUUAUAUUGCCCACUAUAAACACAAUCAAAGCUUCAAAAUCACAGACAGAACGGGAGCUUUAAACGUAGUUUAUCGUUUAAAAAACGAAACCGGAAGUAAGGUUCGGAUCCAGACGUGUAUCACGUGCGUCCGAUGAAACCGUCUAUAUCCUCUAGAAUCAGCGGACUAAAAAAGCCAGGAGGGUUUCUCUCCUUGGGGGGGGGGGUUAACCCCUUGUUGAGUCAGCUGGCAUUGGCUUAAAG